UGGGGAAUAUUGCACAAUGGGCGCAAGCCUGAUGCAGCGACGCCGCGUGGGGGAUGAAGGCCUUCGGGUUGUAAACCCCUUUCAGCAGGGAAGAAGCGAAAGUGACGGUACCUGCAGAAGAAGCGCCGGCUAACUACGUGCCAGCAGCCGCGGUAAUACGUAGGGCGCAAGCGUUGUCCGGAAUUAUUGGGCGUAAAGAGCUCGUAGGCGGCCAACUAAGUCUGGAGUGAAAGUCCUACUUUUAAGGUGGGAAUUGCUUUGGAAACUGGAUGGCUUGAGUGUAGGAGAGGUUAGUGGAAUUCCCGGUGUAGCGGUGAAAUGCGUAGAGAUCGGGAGGAACACCAGUGGCGAAGGCGACUAACUGGACUAUGACUGACGCUGAGGCGCGAAAGUGUGGGGAGCAAACAGG
RNAcentral lists this ribosomal RNA (409 nucleotides) under uncultured prokaryote. RNAcentral describes it as "bacterial SSU rRNA". It matches the Rfam family "Bacterial small subunit ribosomal RNA", at positions 355 to 776 of the family's 1533-position model. The record is from RNAcentral.